CCUACGGGGGGCUGCAGUGGGGAAUAUUGGACAAUGGGCGCAAGCCUGAUCCAGCCAUGCCGCGUGAGUGAAGAAGGCCUUCGGGUUGUAAAGCUCUUUUGUCCGGAAAGAAAAGCGCAGGGUGAAUACCCCUGUGUUCUGACGGUACCGGAAGAAUAAGCACCGGCUAACUUCGUGCCAGCAGCCGCGGUAAUACGAAGGGUGCAAGCGUUACUCGGAAUUACUGGGCGUAAAGCGUGCGUAGGUGGUUCGUUAAGUCUGAUGUGAAAGCCCUG
This 275-nucleotide ribosomal RNA is filed under the name uncultured bacterium. Its description in RNAcentral is "partial 16S ribosomal RNA". It matches the Rfam family "Bacterial small subunit ribosomal RNA", at positions 338 to 605 of the family's 1533-position model. The record is from RNAcentral.